GUGUCAGCAGCCGCGGUAAUACGGAGGGCGCUAGCGUUGUUCGGAAUCAUUGGGCGUAAAGCGCGUGUAGGCGGCUUGGCAAGUCGAGUGUGAAAGCCCGGGGCUCAACCCCGGAAGGUCGCUCGAAACUGCCUCGCUCGAGUCCCGGAGAGGAAGGCGGAAUUCCCGGUGUAGAGGUGAAAUUCGUAGAUAUCGGGAGGAACACCAGCGGCGAAGGCGGCCUUCUGGACGGUGACUGACGCUGAGACGCGAAAGCGUGGGGAGCAAACAGGAUUAGAUACCCUGGUAGUCCACGCCGUAAACGUUGGGUGCUAGGUGUCGCGGGUAUUGACCCCUGCGGUGCCGCCGCUAACGCAUUAAGCACCCCGCCUGGGGAGUACGGUCGCAAGGCUAAA
This 395-nucleotide ribosomal RNA is filed under the name uncultured bacterium. RNAcentral's name for it is "bacterial SSU rRNA". It matches the Rfam family "Bacterial small subunit ribosomal RNA", at positions 505 to 898 of the family's 1533-position model. The record is from RNAcentral.